Amphimedon queenslandica is the source of this 462-nucleotide long non-coding RNA. RefSeq lists it as uncharacterized. Lineage: Eukaryota; Metazoa; Porifera; Demospongiae; Haplosclerida; Niphatidae. The transcript has 2 exons. The record is from RefSeq and is a predicted model, not a curated record.
AAAGUUUGAGCCAAUUCGUAGCUUGUUAUGAGGACUUUUUUAAAUUAUGGAUUCCAAAAAUUGGCUUGAAAAUCACCCAAUUUUUAAUUACAUUAUUCAAUACAUUUUGAUACCCUUAUGCUAUUGUAAAAAAGUUUGACAAUUCAUUAAUAUUUGUAAUAUGGUAUUUUGAACAGGAAAAGGAACUCUCGUAGAAGAAGAGUAAAAUACGCCAUCUUAGAUCACAACAGAGAAGAAGGAGUUCAAUCAAGAAUGUUUGCUAAAGAUAAAAGCAGUCUAAUUAGUAAGACCAUUGUGGUAUUAAUAUUUUGGACCAUGGACUAUGAUGGGGUGAAGGCCUGGUAUUGUUAAAGAUUUUGAUCAUUUGCUCAAAUGCAAUUAUUUGUUUGCACCAUCAUUUAAGUUUAGUUAUUUUACAUCAUGUAUGCAAACUAUGCAUUCUGUUGUCUCUUAUAAACAAAA